GGCCGGUUAACUUAAUUGGUUAGAGCGUGGUGCUAAUAAUGUCAAGGUUGCGGGUUGGAUCCCCGAACGGGCCA
This 74-nucleotide transfer RNA is filed under the name Homo sapiens (human). It matches the Rfam family "tRNA". From Rfam's summary of the family: Transfer RNA (tRNA) molecules are approximately 80 nucleotides in length. Their secondary structure includes four short double-helical elements and three loops (D, anti-codon, and T loops). Further hydrogen bonds mediate the characteristic L-shaped molecular structure. tRNAs have two regions of fundamental functional importance: the anti-codon, which is responsible for specific mRNA codon recognition, and the 3' end, to which the tRNAs corresponding amino acid is attached (by aminoacyl-tRNA synthetases). tRNAs cope with the degeneracy of the genetic code in two manners: having more than one tRNA (with a specific anti-codon) for a particular amino acid; and 'wobble' base-pairing, i.e. permitting non-standard base-pairing at the 3rd anti-codon position. The record is from Rfam by way of RNAcentral. Lineage: Eukaryota; Metazoa; Chordata; Mammalia; Primates; Hominidae.